This 802-nucleotide long non-coding RNA is filed under the name Pan troglodytes (chimpanzee). RNAcentral's name for it is "long non-coding RNA NONPTRT013924". The record is from RNAcentral. Lineage: Eukaryota; Metazoa; Chordata; Mammalia; Primates; Hominidae.
GGGGAAGGAAGGGAAGGAUUGAGGUGGGAAAAGAGAGAGAAAGAUGAUUGUCCUCUUAGGGGAAGACCACACUGGACAUCGGCUCCUGGGGCACUUCCUUGAUUCCGCUGUACUCAGCGGGACGGGAGAGGCGGAGGUUCCAGGAGGGAGCCUUCCAGAGUCGGUGCAGGGUUGACAGGAGACGUUUGUUUUGCUUUUCCUGAACUUUCGAUCGCCAGCUUAUUUGGUCUUCUUGAUGUUAUAGGGUUGAUAGAGACAGGAGUGGAGUGAUAUCGGACACCGAGCUUCAGCAAGCUCUCUCCAAUGGGAAACCCCCAUCAGCACCUCCCCCUGACUCACAAAGCAUCCCGUCAACAUCACAAUCCCGACUUUCCCACGCGGACAAGCCCACGGGACCCCCUGAUGGACCAGGACAGCACCAGCACUAAGACAUGCCCUGAAACUCACAGGAAGACCUGAUCAAGAAGACGGGAACAGCACAGGGCACUGGGAGCUGCAAACGCCCACAAUACUGUCAGAGAUGGAAAAAGGCACGUGGACUCCCUUUAAUCCAGUGACUGUCAGGUCGAUCAUAUGUAAGUAUCGGCAGACGGACCAGCCUGGGCUGCUUUGUAUCCGACCCGCUUGGGUACCCGCUUGUGUUUCCUUUGUCUGUGGGUCCGUAUCACUUUGCUCCCUUCUGGAAUUCCACUUAGAUGAGCGUCGGCCCUUUCAUCCCUCUCCCCCCGUCUCUGUACCUUUUCACGUCUCUCUGUGUAUGUUUGCUCUAUUCUUGAUUCUGUUUAUUUUUAAUGUACGGUGU